RNAcentral lists this ribosomal RNA (1140 nucleotides) under uncultured organism. Its description in RNAcentral is "bacterial SSU rRNA". It matches the Rfam family "Bacterial small subunit ribosomal RNA", at positions 317 to 1460 of the family's 1533-position model. The record is from RNAcentral.
AACUGAGACACGGUCCAGACACCUACGGGUGGCAGCAGUCGAGAAUCAUUCGCAAUGGGGGAAACCCUGACGAUGCGACGCCGCGUGGAGGAUGAAGGCCUUAGGGUUGUAAACUCCUGUCAAGAGGGAAUAAGCAAGUGAAGGUACCUCUAGAGGAAGGGGCGGCUAAUUCCGUGCCAGCAGCCGCGGUAACACGGAAGCCCCGAGCGUUGUUCGGAUUCAUUGGGCGUAAAGGGUGCGUAUGCGGCGCGGAAAGUCCGGCGUGAAAGGCAGAGGCUCAACCUCUGGACUGCGUUGGAUACUUCCGUGCUUGAGGACUGGAGGGGAGACUGGAAUUCACGGUGUAGCAGUGAAAUGCGUAGAUAUCGUGAGGAAGACCGGUGGCGAAGGCGAGUCUCUGGACAGAUCCUGACGCUGAGGCACGAAGGCUGGGGGAGCGAACAGGAUUAGAUACCCUGGUAGUCCCAGCAGUAAACGAUGUGAGCUUGAUGUGGGGGGAUUCGACCCCUUCCGUGUCGAAGCUAACGCGAUAAGCUCACCGCCUGAGGAGUACGGCCGCAAGGCUAAAACUCAAAGAAAUUGACGGGGACCCGCACAAGCGGUGGAGUAUGUGGCUUAAUUCGAUGCAACGCGAAGAACCUUACCUGGCCUUGACAUGCAUUGUGUCGUCGGUGAAAGCCGGCUAGUCCUGGAAACAGGACGCUUUGCACAGGUGCUGCAUGGCUGUCGUCAGCUCGUGUCGUGAGAUGUUGGGUUAAGUCCCGCAACGAGCGCAACCCUUGUGGUCAGUUACUAACCGGCUUAGCCGGAGGACUCUGGCCAGACUGCCCUGUCAAACGGGGAGGAAGGUGGGGACGACGUCAAGUCAGUAUGGCCCUUAUGGCCAGGGCUGCACACGUACUACAAUGCCCGGUACAAUGUGAACCGAAACCGCGAGGUGGAGAAAUCGCUCUUGAAAACCGGGCCCAGUUCGGAUUGGAGUCUGCAACUCGACUCCAUGAAGUCGGAAUCGCUAGUAAUGGCGUAUCAGCAACGACGCCGUGAAUACGUUCCCGGGUCUUGUACACACCGCCCGUCACAUCAUGGAAGUCUCCUGUACCCGAAGCACGUGCGCCAACCUUUUAGGAGGCAGCGUUCGAA